This 1503-nucleotide long non-coding RNA is filed under the name Calidris pugnax (ruff). RNAcentral describes it as "lncRNA (ENSCPUG00000001698.1)". Lineage: Eukaryota; Metazoa; Chordata; Aves; Charadriiformes; Scolopacidae. The record is from RNAcentral.
AUGCAACUACCUUUGUAUUGCCCCACGACUGUUCCUAACAGCAGUAGGAAAGAACUAGAAGAGGAACUAAAAUGCUGGAUGCGUCUGACCUGGCAAGUGAGAACUGGUGAGCACAGAGUGUACUGCACAGAGCUACCAAGGGACGUGGCACGGGGUGUAUUUUGGCCUUGGGCUGGCAAAAUCUCUGCUCUUGCAAAACAAGUCAUGGCAUUCUUACUAUCUGCAAGAAGCUUGCAAGACAGGGAACGCACUGAAGAAUGUGAAAAAAACAUGCAAAACUAUUACAGAGAAACAAGUUUCCAGGCCGGGCGGUGUGUUGAGACUCUAAUGGUAACGCUAAUGCAGGGGCAGAGCCUGCCCACGCCUACACAGAGCAACCCACUCCUCCCUGCCUGCCACGCAGAAGGGAAAGGGAAGUUUGAAAAAAAAUUUGUCUGGCUGCUGGAGAGCUCCAUCUCGUGGUAAAAUUCCAGGAAGAUCUUCACAAGUAUUCCCGUCUGAAGAUCCCAACAACGUAACUUUAAUUCAAGGUUCCUGGUAUCAAGCAGAUGUUCUUCCCAGGUUCACCUUGGAUCCUGUGAACCUCAGGGGGAUCUCUGCAGUGGUGACUGCAGCCAGAGCAAGCCAAGGGUGAGAAGAAGGCAAGCCAGGACAGGGACCUCACUGUGCCCCCUACCGCAGCAGGGUGAGCAGAGAGUUCCCCUGGCAGUGCCCAGGCUCAGCCAGGCAGCUCUGUGGUCACAAGGCAGGUCCCAGAUCAAACCAGAUGUAUCUGUGGUCUCUGAUCUGUUGGUUGCAAUUCCAAUAAGUGAGUUUAUUACCUGCCUACAGACUCUUUCAUUUUCUGAACUGUAAAAACGCGUGCUGCUUUAUGCGUACGAGAGCAGCAGCGUUCCUUUGUCUGAAAGGCUUUCAACAUCUGAAUGUAGGAGAGCUGGUAUCCCACUUCUGUCACAAAGCGACGUGGUAAAGGAGGAGUAAGAGCAGCAGAACCAGUCCAUCUGAACCACGGGUUUAAAUUUGAGAAGGACCUGAAUGACAGCAUCUAAAAUUUCAACACAGUUUGAUUUUCCACCCACAGUUCACUUUUAUUCAUCUCUGUGGUUUUGCUGCGGACUAGUCUAAGGACUAGUUUCAAAACUUUAGCUGUAGACUUGGGUUGAGAUGCAGAAAUCCAGAAAAUCCUGUUAUGAUGAGGCUCCGUGUCAGCCCUUACCUAAGCACAACUUCCCUUGGGCCCAGAGAGCAUUGCUUCAGUCUGAACUUCCGAAGUAUGCCCAAAAAUAGGAAUGAAGCACGUCUUGGCAAGGGCAACAAUUCCUCAUAUUUAUGAAAGCAAUCCUGGGGCAUGAGGACAUUUUCAAAACUAGCAUCCAGUUAUGUGUAUUUUGGGAAAAAAAAUGGAGACAUACUUCAACAGAGAAUAAGAAUGUGGUAUUCCGCCAGUCUCAUUUUCCUGAAUCUCAUUUUCAUGCCCGAUGAAAGGAAAGCGCAUCCGGAUCA